GGAAUAUUGGACAAUGGCCGGAAGGCUGAUCCAGCCAUGCCGCGUGCGGGAGGACGGCCCUAUGGGUUGUAAACCGCUUUUGCGAGGGAGCAAUAAGUCGCACGUGUGCGACGAUGAGAGUACCUUACGAAUAAGCAUCGGCUAACUCCGUGCCAGCAGCCGCGGUAAUACGGAGGAUGCAAGCGUUAUCCGGAUUUAUUGGGUUUAAAGGGUGCGUAGGCGGCUUGGUAAGCGGGAGGUGAAAUGCCGGCGCUCAACGUCGGAAGUGCCUCCCGAACUGUCGGGCUUGAAUGACACUGCCGUGGGAGGAAUGUGUGGUGUAGCGGUGAAAUGCAUAGAGAUCACACAGAACACCGAUUGCGAAGGCAUCUCACGAAGUGUUGAUUGACGCUGAGGCACGAAAGCGUGGGGAUCAAACA
RNAcentral lists this ribosomal RNA (419 nucleotides) under uncultured bacterium. RNAcentral describes it as "bacterial SSU rRNA". It matches the Rfam family "Bacterial small subunit ribosomal RNA", at positions 358 to 774 of the family's 1533-position model. The record is from RNAcentral.